GCAGCCGCGGUAAUACGUAGGUUGCAAGCGUUGUCCGGAUUUACUGGGUGUAAAGGGCGUGUAGGCGGAGAUGCAAGUUGGGAGUGAAAUCCCGGGGCUCAACCCCGGAACUGCUUUCAAAACUGCAUCCCUUGAGUAUCGGAGAGGCAAGCGGAAUUCCUAGUGUAGCGGUGAAAUGCGUAGAUAUUAGGAGGAACACCAGUGGCGAAGGCGGCUUGCUGGACGACAACUGACGCUGAGGCGCGAAAGCGUGGGGAGCAAACAGGAUUAGAUACCCU
RNAcentral lists this ribosomal RNA (278 nucleotides) under uncultured Oscillospiraceae bacterium. RNAcentral describes it as "partial 16S ribosomal RNA". It matches the Rfam family "Bacterial small subunit ribosomal RNA", at positions 511 to 788 of the family's 1533-position model. The record is from RNAcentral. Lineage: Bacteria; Bacillati; Bacillota; Clostridia; Eubacteriales; Oscillospiraceae.